AAGACUAUACUUUCAGGAAUUAUUUCUAUAGUUAAUAACUAGAGAAAUGUGAUUCUAAAGUGUAUGGUCGCGCAAACUACGAUGACGAGAUGCUGUAUUCCUUCCUGAGCGUGAAGCUGCCAAGAAGUCUUGAUUUAUGUCAAACACUCUUUGACAUUGAUGAACGUUCGCUGCAUCUUUUGGAGCAAUGAGGGAGGGAAUAUGUUCAGAGGAGU
Syngnathoides biaculeatus (alligator pipefish) is the source of this 215-nucleotide small nucleolar RNA. RefSeq annotates it as small nucleolar RNA U3. The record is from RefSeq and is a predicted model, not a curated record. The transcript has a single exon. NCBI's taxonomy places the organism in Eukaryota, Metazoa, Chordata, Actinopteri, Syngnathiformes, Syngnathidae.